GACGAACGCUGGCGGCGUGCCUAAUACAUGCAAGUAGAACGCUGAAGAGAGGAGCUUACUCUUCUUGGAUGAGUUGCGAACGGGUGAGUAACGCGUAGGUAACCUGCCUUGUAGCGGGGGAUAACUAUUGGAAACGAUAGCUAAUACCGCAUAACAAUGGAUGACACAUGUCAUUUAUUUGAAAGGGGCAAUUGCUCCACUACAAGAUGGACCUGCGUUGUAUUAGCUAGUAGGUGAGGUAAUGGCUCACCUAGGCGACGAUACAUAGCCGACCUGAGAGGGUGAUCGGCCACACUGGGACUGAGACACGGCCCAGACUCCUACGGGAGGCAGCAGUAGGGAAUCUUCGGCAAUGGGGGCAACACUGACCGAGCAACGCCGCGUGAGGGAAGAAGGUUUUCGGAUCGUAAAGCUCUGUUGUAAGUCAAGAACGGGUGUGAGAGUGGAAAGUUCACACUGUGACGGUAGCUUACCAGAAAGGGACGGCUAACUACGUG
Molecule: ribosomal RNA, 497 nt
Filed under: uncultured bacterium
Lineage: Bacteria
Description: partial 16S ribosomal RNA
Rfam family: Bacterial small subunit ribosomal RNA
Source: RNAcentral